Molecule: ribosomal RNA, 426 nt
Filed under: uncultured bacterium
Lineage: Bacteria
Description: bacterial SSU rRNA
Rfam family: Bacterial small subunit ribosomal RNA
Source: RNAcentral
AUUGAACGCUGGCGGAAUGCUUUACACAUGCAAGUCGAGCGGCAGCGCGGGGGCAACCCUGGCGGCGAGCGGCGAACGGGUGAGUAAUAUAUCGGAACGUACCCCGUCGUGGGGGAUAACACAGCGAAAGCUGUGCUAAUACCGCAUACGACCUGAGGGUGAAAGCGGGGGAUCGCAAGACCUCGCGCGAUGGGAGCGGCCGAUAUCGGAUUAGCUUGUUGGUGAGGUAAAGGCUCACCAAGGCGACGAUCCGUAGCUGGUCUGAGAGGACGACCAGCCACACUGGAACUGAGACACGGUCCAGACUCCUACGGGAGGCAGCAGUGGGGAAUUUUGGACAAUGGGGGGCAACCCUGAUCCAGCCAUUCCGCGUGAGUGAAGAAGGCCUUCGGUUGUAAGCUCUUUCAGCAGGAACGAAACGGUAGG